GACGAACGCUGGCGGCGUGCUUAACACAUGCAAGUCGAACGGAAAGGCCCUGCUUUUGUGGGGUGCUCGAUUGGCGAACAGGUGAGUAACACGUGAGUAACCUGCCCUUGACUUUGUGAUAACAUCAGGAAACUGGGGCUCAUAUCGCAUAGGAGCUCCUGCUGCAUGGUGGGGGUUGGAAAGUUUCGGCUGUUGUGGAUGGACUCGCGGCUUAUCAGCUUGUUGGUGGGGUAGUUGCUUACCAAGGCUAUGACGGGUAGCCGGCAUGAGAGGGUGACCGGCCACAAUGGGCCUGAGAUACGGCGCAGACUCCUACGGUAGGCAGCAGUGGGGAAUAUGGCACAAUAGGCGGAAGCCUGAUGCAGCAACGCCGCGUGCGUGAUGCCGGCCUUUGGGUUGUAAACCGCUUUCGCCUUUGACGAAGCGUGCGUGACGGUAAUGGGUAAAGAAGCACCGGCUAACUACGUG
RNAcentral lists this ribosomal RNA (468 nucleotides) under uncultured bacterium. RNAcentral describes it as "partial 16S ribosomal RNA". It matches the Rfam family "Bacterial small subunit ribosomal RNA", at positions 28 to 507 of the family's 1533-position model. The record is from RNAcentral.